RNAcentral lists this ribosomal RNA (237 nucleotides) under Salmonella enterica. Its description in RNAcentral is "partial 16S ribosomal RNA". It matches the Rfam family "Bacterial small subunit ribosomal RNA", at positions 1 to 236 of the family's 1533-position model. Lineage: Bacteria; Pseudomonadati; Pseudomonadota; Gammaproteobacteria; Enterobacterales; Enterobacteriaceae. RNAcentral also lists the same sequence under 2 other names. The record is from RNAcentral.
AAAUUGAAGAGUUUGAUCAUGGCUCAGAUUGAACGCUGGCGGCAGGCCUAACACAUGCAAGUCGAACGGUAGCACAGAGAGCUUGCUCUCGGGUGACGAGUGGCGGACGGGUGAGUAAUGUCUGGGAAACUGCCUGAUGGAGGGGGAUAACUACUGGAAACGGUAGCUAAUACCGCAUAACGUCGCAAGACCAAAGAGGGGGACCUUCGGGCCUCUUGCCAUCAGAUGUGCCCAGAU